GGGGGUGUGGUUCAAUGGUAGAGCACUUGCCUAGCAGGCAUGAGGCCCUGGGUUCAAUUUCCUCCACCACAA
This 72-nucleotide transfer RNA is filed under the name Urocitellus parryii (Arctic ground squirrel). Its description in RNAcentral is "Spermophilus parryii (Arctic ground squirrel) tRNA". It matches the Rfam family "tRNA". From Rfam's summary of the family: Transfer RNA (tRNA) molecules are approximately 80 nucleotides in length. Their secondary structure includes four short double-helical elements and three loops (D, anti-codon, and T loops). Further hydrogen bonds mediate the characteristic L-shaped molecular structure. tRNAs have two regions of fundamental functional importance: the anti-codon, which is responsible for specific mRNA codon recognition, and the 3' end, to which the tRNAs corresponding amino acid is attached (by aminoacyl-tRNA synthetases). tRNAs cope with the degeneracy of the genetic code in two manners: having more than one tRNA (with a specific anti-codon) for a particular amino acid; and 'wobble' base-pairing, i.e. permitting non-standard base-pairing at the 3rd anti-codon position. The record is from Rfam by way of RNAcentral. Lineage: Eukaryota; Metazoa; Chordata; Mammalia; Rodentia; Sciuridae. RNAcentral also lists the same sequence under 2 other names.